CAGUAGCCGCGGUAAUACGAAGGGUGCAAGCGUUAAUCGGAAUUACUGGGCGUAAAGCGUGCGUAGGCGGUCUGUUAAGUCUGCUGUGAAAUCCCCGGGCUCAACCUGGGAAUGGCAGUGGAUACUGGCAAGCUAGAGUGUGUCAGAGGAUGGUGGAAUUCCCGGUGUAGCGGUGAAAUGCGUAGAGAUCGGGAGGAACAUCAGUGGCGAAGGCGGCCAUCUGGGACAACACUGACGCUGAGGCACGAAAGCGUGGGGAGCAAACAGGAUUAGAUACCCCGGUAGUCCCUGUCUCUUAUAC
RNAcentral lists this ribosomal RNA (301 nucleotides) under uncultured bacterium. RNAcentral's name for it is "partial 16S ribosomal RNA". It matches the Rfam family "Bacterial small subunit ribosomal RNA", at positions 509 to 807 of the family's 1533-position model. The record is from RNAcentral.